Molecule: ribosomal RNA, 2089 nt
Filed under: Campylobacter jejuni
Lineage: Bacteria; Pseudomonadati; Campylobacterota; Epsilonproteobacteria; Campylobacterales; Campylobacteraceae
Description: partial 23S ribosomal RNA
Rfam family: Bacterial large subunit ribosomal RNA
Source: RNAcentral
AGGUAAGCUACUAAGAGCGAAUGGUGGAUGCCUUGACUGGUAAAGGCGAUGAAGGACGUACUAGACUGCGAUAAGCUACGGGGAGCUGUCAAGAAGCUUUGAUCCGUAGAUUUCCGAAUGGGGCAACCCAAUGUAUAGAGAUAUACAUUACCUAUAUAGGAGCGAACGAGGGGAAUUGAAACAUCUUAGUACCCUCAGGAAAAGAAAUCAAUAGAGAUUGCGUCAGUAGCGGCGAGCGAAAGCGCAAGAGGGCAAACCCAGUGCUUGCACUGGGGGUUGUAGGACUGCAAUGUGCAAGAGGUAAGUUUAGCAGAACAUUCUGGAAAGUAUAGCCAUAGAGGGUGAUAGUCCCGUAUGCGAAAAACAAACCUUAGCUAGCAGUAUCCUGAGUAGGGCGGGACACGAGGAAUCCUGUCUGAAUCCGGGUCGACCACGAUCCAACCCUAAAUACUAAUACCAGAUCGAUAGUGCACAAGUACCGUGAGGGAAAGGUGAAAAGAACUGAGGUGAUCAGAGUGAAAUAGAACCUGAAACCAUUUGCUUACAAUCAUUCAGAGCCCUAUGUAGCAAUACAGGGUGAUGGACUGCCUUUUGCAUAAUGAGCCUGCGAGUUGUGGUGUCUGGCAAGGUUAAGCAAACGCGAAGCCGUAGCGAAAGCGAGUCUGAAUAGGGCGCUUAGUCAGAUGCUGCAGACCCGAAACGAAGUGAUCUAUCCAUGAGCAAGUUGAAGCUAGUGUAAGAACUAGUGGAGGACUGAACCCAUAGGCGUUGAAAAGCCCCGGGAUGACUUGUGGAUAGGGGUGAAAGGCCAAUCAAACUUCGUGAUAGCUGGUUCUCUCCGAAAUAUAUUUAGGUAUAGCGUUGUGUCGUAAUAUAAGGGGGUAGAGCACUGAAUGGGCUAGGGCAUACACCAAUGUACCAAACCCUAUCAAACUCCGAAUACCUUAUAUGUAAUCACAGCAGUCAGGCGGCGAGUGAUAAAAUCCGUCGUCAAGAGGGAAACAACCCAGACUACCAGCUAAGGUCCCUAAGUCUUACUUAAGUGGAAAACGAUGUGAAGUUACUUAAACAACCAGGAGGUUGGCUUAGAAGCAGCCAUCCUUUAAAGAAAGCGUAAUAGCUCACUGGUCUAGUGAUUUUGCGCGGAAAAUAUAACGGGGCUAAAGUAAGUACCGAAGCUGUAGACUUAGUUUACUAAGUGGUAGGAGAGCGUUCUAUUUGCGUCGAAGGUAUACCGGUAAGGAGUGCUGGAGCGAAUAGAAGUGAGCAUGCAGGCAUGAGUAGCGAUAAUUAAUGUGAGAAUCAUUAACGCCGUAAACCCAAGGUUUCCUACGCGAUGCUCGUCAUCGUAGGGUUAGUCGGGUCCUAAGUCGAGUCCGAAAGGGGUAGACGAUGGCAAAUUGGUUAAUAUUCCAAUACCAACAUUAGUGUGCGAUGGAAGGACGCUUAGGGCUAAGGGGGCUAGCGGAUGGAAGUGCUAGUCUAAGGUCGUAGGAGGUUAUACAGGCAAAUCCGUAUAACAAUACUCCGAGAACUGAAAGGCUUUUUGAAGUCUUCGGAUGGAUAGAAGAACCCCUGAUGCCGUCGAGCCAAGAAAAGUUUCUAAGUUUAGCUAAUGUUGCCCGUACCGUAAACCGACACAGGUGGGUGGGAUGAGUAUUCUAAGGCGCGUGGAAGAACUCUCUUUAAGGAACUCUGCAAAAUAGCACCGUAUCUUCGGUAUAAGGUGUGGUUAGCUUCGUACUAGGAUUUACUCCGAAAGCGAAGAAACUUACAACAAAGAGUCCCUCCCGACUGUUUACCAAAAACACAGCACUCUGCUAACUCGUAAGAGGAUGUAUAGGGUGUGACGCCUGCCCGGUGCUCGAAGGUUAAUUGAUGGGGUUAGCAUUAGCGAAGCUCUUGAUCGAAGCCCGAGUAAACGGCGGCCGUAACUAUAACGGUCCUAAGGUAGCGAAAUUCCUUGUCGGUUAAAUACCGACCUGCAUGAAUGGCGUAACGAGAUGGGAGCUGUCUCAAAGAGGGAUCCAGUGAAAUUGUAGUGGAGGUGAAAAUUCCUCCUACCCGCGGCAAGACGGAAAGACCCCGU